Molecule: ribosomal RNA, 634 nt
Filed under: Amanita citrina
Lineage: Eukaryota; Fungi; Basidiomycota; Agaricomycetes; Agaricales; Amanitaceae
Description: LSU rRNA
Rfam family: Eukaryotic large subunit ribosomal RNA
Source: RNAcentral
CAAUAAGCGGAGGAAAAGAAACUAACAAGGAUUCCCUUAGUAACUGCGAGUGAAGAGGGAAAAGCUCAAAUUUAAAAUCUGGCAGUGUUUUGCUGUCCGAGUUGUAACCUAGAGAAGUGUAACCUGGGCUGGACCAUGUACAAGUCUCCUGGAAUGGAGCAUCGCAGAGGGUGAGAAUCCCGUCUUUGACAUGGACUACCAGUGCAUUGUGGUUGUGCUCUCAACGAGUCGAGUUGUUUGGGAAUGCAGCUCUAAAUGGGUGGUAAAUUCCAUCUAAAGCUAAAUAUUGGCGAGAGACCGAUAGCGAACAAGUACCGUGAGGGAAAGAUGAAAAGAACUUUGGAAAGAGAGUUAAACAGUAUGUGAAAUUGUUGAAAGGGAAACGUUUGAAGUCAGUCAUGUUGGUUGGGGAUCAGCCUGGCAGAUUGCCGGGUGUACUUCCUGGUUGACGGGCCAACAUCAGUUUUGACUGCCAGAGAAAGGCCAAGGGAAUGUGGCACCUUUGGGUGUGUUAUAGCUCUUGGYCGUAUGUGGUGGUUGGGACUGAGGAGAGCAGUGCGCCGAAAGGCAGGGUUUCGACCACAUUCGCACUGAGGAUGUUGGCAUAAUGGCUUUAAGCGACCCGUCUUGAAAC